AACCUUGGCUCUGCAUUGUAGCCUUGUGCUCAGUUGUUUCUCCUUCUCACACUGCCUGAGGCUGCUCUGGAGCCUGUUUUGAGUCCCCAGGUGCUGCUGCUCAUCCCAUGGAGCUGAGCUGUGGCUGCAUUGCUGAGGAGGCUGGUGGCAGAUAGCAGGGCUGGGAAGAGGCUGCCUCGGCACAAGCUCCUGGAGGACUCUUCUGGGAGAAGGA
This is a long non-coding RNA of Nothoprocta perdicaria, 214 nucleotides long. RefSeq lists it as uncharacterized. The record is from RefSeq and is a predicted model, not a curated record. The transcript has 2 exons. Lineage: Eukaryota; Metazoa; Chordata; Aves; Tinamiformes; Tinamidae.